UACGUAGGGGGCUAGCGUUGUCCGGAAUCAUUGGGCGUAAAGCGCGCGUAGGCGGCCCGGUAAGUCCGCUGUGAAAGUCAAAGGCUCAACCUUUGAAUGUCAGCGGAUACUGCCGGGCUAGAGUCCGGAAGAGGCGAGUGGAAUUCCUGGUGUAGCGGUGGAAUGCGCAGAUAUCAGGAAGAACACCCGUGGCGAAGGCGGCUCUCUGGGACGGUACUGACGCUGAGACGCGAAAGCGUGGGGAGCGAACAGG
This 253-nucleotide ribosomal RNA is filed under the name uncultured bacterium. RNAcentral describes it as "partial 16S ribosomal RNA". It matches the Rfam family "Bacterial small subunit ribosomal RNA", at positions 524 to 776 of the family's 1533-position model. The record is from RNAcentral.